Molecule: non-coding RNA, 578 nt
Organism: Momordica charantia (bitter melon)
Lineage: Eukaryota; Viridiplantae; Streptophyta; Magnoliopsida; Cucurbitales; Cucurbitaceae
Source: RefSeq, a predicted model, not a curated record
CUCACAGGCGUACGUCUAUUUUUCUUUUUGGUUUCACCGUGAUUUCCCUUACAAUUAAGGUUUCUGUGUUUGGAAAUUGGAUUUAAUAUUUGUUGCUUAUUACAAACUAUUUUCCCUGUUUGGCAGUGGUGAAAAAUUUAUCCCAUGUUCGAGAUUUGUUCUUAGCUUUAACCAGGGGCUGGAAGCAAACGUGUGGAAAAGGAAGCUGCGGCCAAGAUCUGAUCUGAUGGGUUAAAUUAAAUCUGAUCAUGCGGUGAUGCGUGGUUCCAGAAGGAGAAAGUAAGAUAGAUCUGAUCACAGGGAAUCAAAAAUAGGGUUUUCAUUUUUUGAAGAAGAAAAAAAAAGUGACGAAAUAGAGAAGAAAUAGGGGUUUUGUUCCACUUGUUAGAGAAUAACAGUUGUGUUUUAUAUAUAACUGUGAAAAUUAAGGAUAUCUUAGUAGAGAGAGAGAGCUACUGAUUCUCUCUUAGGCUUAGGGUUAUUUGCAUAGAAUCUUAGCCAAACAUGGYCACCCAUAUUGUACAAUUUGUAAUGUAAAUUAUCUCUCUAUAAACUCGUAUCGUUUUCUUUUGGUUUUA